Molecule: long non-coding RNA, 1496 nt
Filed under: Ricinus communis (castor bean)
Lineage: Eukaryota; Viridiplantae; Streptophyta; Magnoliopsida; Malpighiales; Euphorbiaceae
Description: long non-coding RNA (RCOM_LNC000876)
Source: RNAcentral
UUUUAGCCUGCACCCUUGUAUAAAUACAUAAAGAAAACCCUCCUCUAACUCGCAUUUCAAAAACAAAAGUAAAAACCCGUCACAUUUUAACACAAGAAUCACCUGAUUCAUUUAGCUACUUCUUAUCAAAAGAAAAACUUUGUAUAAACAUAAAACAUGACUGUGACGUCCAUCCAAGAAACUCAAGAUCGAGUGAUCGCUGAUCUUGAAAUUGAACAGAAACCUAAGGAGUUGUCUUCGCCGGCAGUGAAGGAUUUAACAGAAGGUGAGAUGGAUAGAGAGAGGAGAUCAUUCAGGAAGUGGAAGAAUAAUAAUAAUAAUAAUAAUAAUAAUAAUAAUCAUAAUAAUAAAAAAAAGAUAGGGUUUCUGCAUAGCCAGGUGUUAAAGAUUAGAGAGGAAGAUUCACAUCUUGGUGAAGAUAGCAAAGAAAAGGUUAUGAAUAUUAACGGAUCAGGGUCUGCUUUUAAUCAAAAUAUGCAGCAGCUUCGACGCGUGGCUUCAGCGGUUGAUGUGGUGUUCUUUUCAAGACCCAUCUUGCCUUCCUCCCCUCUCAGCCGAAAAACCACUGUCAAACCUUUGCCCUGAGUUAAGUUAAAGGUUGGUUUUCUUUUCUUCUUUUUUAGUUCUUUCACUUUCUUGAUUAAUUUAGUCGUUUGUGCUUUGUUUUUUUUCCUCAAUUUUCAUUUUCUUGGUUACGUUUUCGUAUCUUCUUUUUCUUUUUCCUUUUCAAUAUAGAUUCUUGAAAAUCUGAUCGUCCUUGUAUAUGCUUAUUUCGGGAAAUUCUGUAAUGAUAUUUCCUAUCUUGUUGGUUCUACUGUAUAUGCUUAUUUCGGGAAAUUCUGUAAUGAUAUUUCCUAUCUUGUUGGUUCUACAUAUCUGUUUGGAUCCUGAGAAAACUAAAGAAAACACGAGGAAAAAUCAAGAUUUUGAAUCGAUGGAAUAAUUAAUGUUUAAUCCGAAAUUAAAACUUCAAUUUUUUUAUUUUCUUUUAGAUAGUUAAAUCUGUAUUUGUUUCUUUUAUAGCGUUUCCUUCCCUUUUACCCGCGCGAAAAUAUUAUCACGUUUUUUUUUUCUUUAAUUUAUUUAUUCGGGUUGUUAGCUUCUCGAGCUGAUUUCUUGGGGAAUUCGGGUGGGAAUAAGAUGAAGAUAUCUUGACCCGUUCGUUUUUUUAAAAAAUAAAAUAAAAUUUGUUUUGUUGUGGAUUAAUUAGUGUUGUUUUGUUGUGGCAGGAAGAGCAGGCAGCAGUAAGAGUGAAGGAAAAGAGAUAUGCAACAAAGUGAUGUGAAAAUUGGAGUCUUCUAUGGUUUUCAAUUACUUCUUUCUUAGAAGAAGAAGAAGAAGAAGAAGAAGAAGAAGUUAGGAUUAGGAUGUAGAGAGAUCAAUUAGUAGGAUAGGAUUUUGCAUGCAUGGUUAUCCAUCUUCCUUUUCUGUACAGUGAAGAAAAUCAAUUAGUUUUAUAAAUAAAUAAAAUCAUGUGGAAAAAUAAAAGUCAUAAA